CUGUCCUUCAGGGGGAGUGCCAGCUCACUGCAUCUGGGAGCGAGUCUGUGCUAGAACUGGGUCUCAUCUGGGGUCAACAGUGGCCCAUCUGGACAGGGCAGCAGUUGGCUCCAACUCCUGUCUGUGCAUAAUAUGGCUGACAGCAUGGCCCUUGUUGGCAAAGUGGAAGGUGAUCAGACAGAACUGCAGCCAGCACUGCUGCCUGAGCAUGACAGGGCUGGAAAGGCCCCCUGCUUAACUGGAAAGCUGGUCCUGACUCCCUCCUGGGGCCACAUGCAGUUUCACCUGUUGCCAGCGUGAGGCUGUGCUGGGAGCCCCUCCCUUGGGUGGGUGCUUGUGGGGCAGAGUGUUUGCUGUCAGAGAAAAAUCAGACUUAGGAGAAAUGACAUGAGCAGGAUGGAGAUCCCAGUGCGGGUGUGGGGAGGACAGGACAGCAACAGGAAAUGGUUUCAGAGUAUCUGAGUUGGAGGAAAUAAUUUUUCAUCUCCCUGAAAUGCUAAUUCCUCAAGAUGCUAAAACAAGAGGCCCAGAUUUCAUGAGCAUUCAAGUCCCUUUCCGCCUUGACUUUCUGCAAAUCUUCCAGAGAACUGCCUGGCAUCCAAGAUUAACUCUGAUGCAGGAAAGACAUGCAGUACAGAGACAAAGCUCUGAAAGGUGAUUUUUAUCUCCCACACAUUGGAGAGGAGACUAACUGUGUGACGGAUGAGGGACACUCCUCAGUCUACUCACUCAAUAAAGGAAACCUAGGCCAGAGGCAGAGGCCUUUCUUUCCAUUAAAAAAAAAAAAUACGGAGGGGCAUCUACUAUCACUGACCACAGCUGGUUUUGCAAUAAAAAUCUGGAAAACAAGGGCCACUUUCUUGGAUUCCCCAGUUUAGUUAAACCAGCAUUUGGCCUGUUGGUAUACAUACUUCAGAAAGGGAUCUGCAGCAGCAGUAGAAGGGAGGAAGAAUGAGACCAAAAGAACUACAUGUGAAUCAUCUGCUAAUAAAGAAAAGGGGAAAGAACAGCCCUCCAUGGGCAAAAACUUCUACCACGAACAUUUAUUUCUGUUAAAGCAGAUUAUAAAUUCUCAUCGGUACAAAUAUAUAUAACUUACAUUUGAUUGUAAGGCCAACGUUCAAAAGUAAAAAUGAGAUGGGAUCUCAUGUUCUCCAAGGUCAGGUGGCUGCGACUGGCAAUGGGACAUUCUGCUUACUGAAGGGGGCACACACGAGACUAUGGAAACCGGAACCCCCAUCCCACAAAACUCGUGAGGGCAACAUUUAAAGGGCAGGACAAAACCCACCCAGACCCACAUUACACACCAACACAGUAGCCCGCGCUCCUUCUUGUGGUAUGACUUAGUGUUAAAACAAGUAAAGGAUUAACAUAGGGAAACUGCAGCAAUACAUAAAAGGUAAUAUUCUCUACAGAGCAUAUUUAGGUCAAAUCCAUUGAAGUAAUGACAUUAGAAUUCUAUCAUAGGUUUAAAGCCAGGACAAUACUGCUCUUUCGUUUUCUUUAUUUAAAACCUAGUGACUGUAUUGAUCAUAAGCAUGAUUGUUGUUGCAAUGUACUACUUACAGUGAAUGGCAGCGAACAAGCUAGGGAUCUGCCUGCAACUUCCAGCCUUUCCUCUUCCUCUUCCCCCUCUUCCUCCUCAUCCUCCUCCGUAGGCAUCAAUAAUAAAUCAAUCUUAUGUACAAUUUCUUACAACUAACCCUUUACCUUUGGCAAGAUUACUUACAACUCUUUAAUAUUAAGAACUAUUUAAAAUAUUCUAAGUGCAUAAAAAUAAAGAUUUUGGCUUUUUUGAUAUAUACUUAUAAUAUUUAUUCUGUUACUCAAAAUGGAAGCGUGACUUCACCCCCAAAUAUAGCUCUGCUGGGCGGCUGCUGAUGUGCCCUCCCAAGAACACUGGCGACACAGCCAGCCUCUCUGUCCCGGCCUGAGCAGAGACCAUGCCGUUCUUGUAAGUCUCUGGGACCAAGGAGGCAGAUACACGGCCUGAAGACAAAGGGAGAUUGUUUCGCUUCCUGUUGUGUUGUAUAUUCCAGUAAAUGUGCUUUGCAUACGGA
Molecule: long non-coding RNA, 2060 nt
Organism: Carlito syrichta (Philippine tarsier)
Lineage: Eukaryota; Metazoa; Chordata; Mammalia; Primates; Tarsiidae
Exons: 2
Source: RefSeq, a predicted model, not a curated record